Magnolia sinica is the source of this 1011-nucleotide long non-coding RNA. RefSeq lists it as uncharacterized. The transcript is spliced from 3 exons. The record is from RefSeq and is a predicted model, not a curated record. NCBI's taxonomy places the organism in Eukaryota, Viridiplantae, Streptophyta, Magnoliopsida, Magnoliales, Magnoliaceae.
CUCUCAUGGAGCGCUUCUACUUCCAUCUCUUCCUGGAAUUUCAUCAGCCUCCGAAACUGAGCUCUGCCUUCCCAUCACACAGGCAAAUUCCAGUAUGGGAAGGAGGAGGAGUCGUAUUUCUUUGUCCCAAGAAAUUUGGAGAAAUCACGGAAGGAACGCAUUGUGAAACAAGAUUAUGGUUUUUGGAGGUCAACUGGAAAUAUUAAAGAAAUAUACGUAGGUCGAGUCAUCUUGCAAAAGGGAACGUUGGAUUUUUGCAUUAAAAUUGCUAAAGGAGAACAUAAAAAAACACCUUGGAAGAUGCAUGAGUACAGUCUUGCUUCCAAAAGUUCAUCAAUGGAUCAAACAAGCUCUGGUAUGGGUGCUAAAACGAAGAAGGAGGGCCGCUUUACUCUGUGUAAGAUUUAUGCGCACAAACCCGAGGAGGUGGAAAACCCAAUGGGAGGAAUGCCGGUGGGAGAUGGAGAUGGUUCUAAUGUCCCUGAUUCCGGACCACCCUCGUGGAACUUCGAGGAUUUGCAAGCCUGGCUCGCUACCACUUUAGCGUAGAUGAAUAGCAUACCAUACGCAUGCAUACUGCUGCUGUUUACUAGGCACGCAUAAGCAUCGGUCCAAACAUCCAAACCGUACGAUUUGUUGGUCCUUCCUUGGAAUAGGGCUUACCCUAGAAACCAGAUUGAACGGAUGAUCCUAUUUGCCUGCCUAUUGAGCGGCUGUGAAUUAAUCAGAUGGAGGAAUAGAGAUAAGGUGGAUAAUCAAGUUCAGGUAAUAAACUCCAAUUCAUCAGACGGUUAGGAUUAUCAGAUCAAUGUGAUUUUGGACGAUGUGAUAUUGACUGUAGGGCUGAUGAUAUUGCAAGUCACGUGCAUGGUGGGCGUGUGCAUGCGUACGGGUUAUAUGAUAGUUUAGCCAUCUGAUUCGUUUUUGUGAUUGUGAUACUUUAUGGGGUUGAAUGUGGACAAUGAAAUAUUAGUUUGAUAAAUGGAUAAUAAUUGAUUUUUUUUUUUUAAA